UCCCCCAACUCCAGUUGAUCCUGCUGGAGGCCACUGCUAUCUGGCUGGGACAGACAUGCAAGUCUGGGAGGUUGGCUGGAACCUCCCGGCGCACGGCUCAGUAACACGUAGACAACCUGCCCUCAGGAGGGGGAUAACCUCGGGAAACUGAGGCUAAUACCCCAUAGGGGAUGGGUACUGGAACGUCCUAUCCCCGAAAGGGGCGGGAAGCCAUGCUCUUCCCGUCCGCCUGAGGAUGGGUCUGCGGCCUAUCAGGUAGUUGGUGGGGUAACGGCCCACCAAGCCUAAGACGGGUACGGGCCAUGAGAGUGGAAGCCCGGAGAGGGGCACUGAGACAAGGGCCCCAGCCCUACGGGGUGCAGCAGUCGCGAAACUUCCCCAAUGCGCGCAAGCGUGAGGGAGCCAGCCAGAGUGCCCUACCUCUGGUAGGGCUUUUGGGGAGUCCAAACAGCUCCCCGAAUAAGGGGUGGGCAAGACCGGUGCCAGCAGCCGCGGUAAUCCCGGCGCCCCGAGUGGUGGCCACGAUUAUUGGGCCUAAAGCGUCCGUAGCCGGGCCAUUAAGUCCCCUGUGAAAUCCUACCUCUCAAGGGUAGGGCGUGCGGGGGAUACUGGUGGCCUAGGGACCGGGAGGGGCCGAGGGUAUUCCCGGGGUAGGGGUAAAAUCCUGUAAUCCCGGGAGGACCGCCGGUGGCGAAGGCGCUCGGCUGGAACGGGUCCGACGGUGAGGGACGAAAGCCAGGGGAGCGAACCGGAUUAGAUACCCGGGUAGUCCUGGCUGUAAACGCUGCCCGCUAGGUGUUGCAUGUCCUUAGGGGGCAUGCAGUGCCGAAGCGAAGGCGUUAAGCGGGCCGCCUGGGGAGUACGGUCGCAAGGCUGAAACUUAAAGGAAUUGGCGGGGGAGCACAACAAGGGGUGAAGCCUGCGGUUCAAUUGGAUUCGACCCCGGGAAACUCACCAGGGGCGACAGCAGGAUGAAGGCCAGUCUGAAGGGCUUGCCGGACGCGCUGAGCGGAGGUGCAUGGCCAUCGUCAGCUCGUGCCGUGAGGUGUCCAGUUAAGUCUGGCAACGAGCGAGACCCUCACCCCCUGUUGCUACCCGUUCCUCCGGGAGCGGGGCACUCAGGGGGGACCGCCUCCGUAAGGGGGAGGAAGGUGAGGGCGACGAUAGGUCAGUAUGCCCCUAAUCCCCUGGGCUACACGCGGGCUGCAAUGGCCGGGACAAAGGGAUGCGACCCCGAAAGGGGAAGCAAAUCCCCUAAACCCGGUCUUAGUCCGGAUCGAGGGCUGCAACCCGCCCUCGUGAAGCCGGAAUCCCUAGUAACCGUGGAUCAAAAUGCCGAUGAAGACAUCGGGCUUCAGAGUAGUGAAGAAGCCAUGCACAACUGAGUGCUUGAAGAUCCACGGUGAAUACGUCCCUGCUCCUUGCACACACCGCCCGUCAAGCCACCCGAGUCGGGUUCGGAUGAGGCCUCAUCCUGUGGGUGAGGUCGAAUCUGGGCUCGGCGAGGUGGGUUAAGUCGUCACAAGGUAUCCGUAGGGGAACCUGCGGAUGGAUCACCUCCUU
Molecule: ribosomal RNA, 1563 nt
Filed under: Nanobdellota archaeon
Lineage: Archaea; Nanobdellati; Nanobdellota
Description: bacterial SSU rRNA
Rfam family: Archaeal small subunit ribosomal RNA
Source: RNAcentral